GAAGAACUCGGCGGCGAAGGUGACCACGUCCUCCGGCUGGCGCAGCAGCAGGAAGAGCAGGAAGUCGGAGAUGAGCGCGUGGGCUUCGGGGUGCUGCCGCAGAUAGCUGGCGUGGCCGAGCCGGAGCUCCUCCUGGCAGGGGACAGAGCCCGAGCCUCAGCCGGACGGGACCCCCGCGCCCCAGGAGCCCCCAGCCGCUCGCUCCAAGGAGAGCUAAGGGGCGCUGGAGCCUUCUAGCCCCUACGGGUGUGCAUUUCAAUCAGGUGCAGAGAUCAGUAAUGAAUUUAAGGCCCAUGGGGGAAUGGGAACCCCAGGCUGGUGGAGCCUCCCCUCACCUUCCGGUCCAGGAACUUCGAAUAGAGCUCCAUAUCCUCCUCCCAUACCAGGGGCUUCUUCUCAAACACUGGGCGUGGCUCAAUCUCAUCUAGGUGGGGAACAAGGAAGGCUGGGCGUCCCUACCCCGGAACCUUCCUUGGAUACACAGCGAGAUCCCGAGAACACCCAAACAGAAGGCUCAGGUGAAACCCCAGGAUUCUGCCCACAUGGGCAGAGUUGCAGGAAGGGACUUCCAGUAGGAAAGAUCCUCCUCUUAUUGCUUGGGGUCAGGGGCUGGAGGGCAGAUGUUCUCCAGCUGAUUCCAGGCUCCUGUCCCGUUUACAGCACACUGGGUCCAGCCCCCUGCAUCCUGGAAGGCCCAGGUUUCCCCACUCCCCUUAACUCUCCCUGCCUGCACAAGGCCUGGGCUUCACUCACCCUCUUCCCUCAAGAUGGGCAUCUUGGUGAUGAUGCAGCACCCUGGGGAGCCCACCUGUAUUCUCUUGGCCAGGUGCCUGGAGUGCAACACAACAUGUGAGAGUGAGAAUCUUCCCAGACCGCCUGCUAUGGACUGAAUUGUCUCUCUAACCCCCAGUGUGGUGGUAUUUGGAGAAAGGCCAUGUGAGGACACAUUGAGAAGGCACUUGUCUGCAAGCUAGGAAGACAGCCCUCACCAGAAACCAACCCUGAUGGCACCAUGAUCUUGGACUUCCUGCCUUCCAGCAAAUAUAUUUCUCUUGAAGCC
RNAcentral lists this long non-coding RNA (1060 nucleotides) under Homo sapiens (human). Its description in RNAcentral is "non-protein coding CATIP-AS1:11". Lineage: Eukaryota; Metazoa; Chordata; Mammalia; Primates; Hominidae. The record is from RNAcentral.